UUUUUCUUUUGAUGUAGUCUGAUAAGACUCUGCUCACAGAACAAACCUUUUAACACAAAAUUAUUCUUUGAACACAUUCUCACAAAUGUGCACCUUCUAUCAUAUUUUUUAACCAAACAUUUCUAUGUUUUUGGUUGCAUUUAGUAUGGAGGCGAUUCAAGAAUGGGUCAAACAAUCAAAGGGAAUUGUGCCUAAUGUGGCUUGUAGCUUCUGCCUUGUGGUCUUGGAGAAGAUUCUGGAGCUGGAGGGAAAGAUCAACAUCAGAAUUUCCUUUUUUGGGAAAUCUGUUCUCAGGGCAUUGGUAUGGCUCUGCUCUUGGUCGCCUGUGGGGCAGUUAUAGUAUCCAUAUGCAACAACUACACCUGGGAUUUAGGAGAAGUCAGUGAUGACGUUACAGAAAGAAGAAGAGGCAUCGGAAGCAGUGUAAGAACAGGAGGAGGAGGACGAGGAGGAAGAGGUGGAGGAGGACUAGGAGGAAGAGGAGGAGAAGGAACAGAAGCAGCACAGGCAUCAGAAGCAGGAGGAGGAGCAGGAGCAGGAGGAGGAGGAGGAGGAGGAACAGGAGCAGAAGCAGCACAGGCAUCAGAAGCAAGAGGAGGAGCAGGAGGAGUACAGGCAUUAGAAGCAGGAGGAGGAGCAGCAGAAGAAGAAGCAGUACAGGCAUCAGAAGCAGGAGGACGAGGAGGAGGAGGAGCAGGAGCAGGAGGAGUACAGGCAUUAGAAGCUGGAGGAGGAGGAGGAGCAGGAGAAGGAGGAGUACAGGCAUUAGAAGCAGGAGGAGGAGGAGGAGCAGGAGGAGUACAGGCAUUAGAAGCAGGAGGACGAGGAGCAGGUGCAGAAGCAGUACAGGCAUCAGAAGCAGGAGGAGGAGCAGGAGAAUCAGAAGCAGGAGGAGGAGAAGGAAGAGGAGCAGAAGAAGUAGAUGCUUUGCUUCCAGAAAUUUGACGUCACCCCAUUGAAGUUAUGAAUUAAAAAGGAUUCAGGUUAGGUUUAGGGUUUAGGGUGGGGUUGAAGAAGCUGUUGAGAUGGUACGCAGGCCCAGAAAUGGAUAAAAAUGUGCUGUAUAAAAUUACAUUGGUAAAAAUGGUAUGUUUGUUUUUUUCUUCUUCACACAAUCAAUAAGUAACCAAUUUAUAACGUUUUUAUUUCUGAGUGUGGAGAUUAAGGAGUGUUUUCUCUGACACAGAUUAAGCCUAGUCCUGGACUAAAAAACACGUUUAUUAGCGAGUCUCCAUUGAAAUGCUUUUUAGUCCAGGAUUAAGGUGUAUCCGUGUCCACAAAAGCGACACUAAGGCUGAGUUUACAAAGGAAGACCAACUCUGAUCUUUUGACAAUUAUUUGUUCUAUUUAAUACAGUACAUACAGUAUCUGAUGUUUUUUUUCCAGUGAGUAAAAAACAACAACAUAAAACACAUUGAAUCUGAUCUUUUGAGUUCUGGUUUGUACCACAUUUGUAUGUGGUUUCCAAUCAAUUCUGAUCCAUCAUGCAACAGUCUGGACGCUGAUUUCUUCCACAUGACCUGCAGUUGCCAAAACAACCACCCCAAAAUGUAAUGGAACAAUGACAGAAAAUGGACUGAAAAAACCCAUCUGAAUUGGGUUCCUACGUCCCUGCCACAUUACAGCCGUCGGUCGUCCUGCACUAUCAUCAGCCAUCAGCCAUUGAGGGAAUGCUUCCUUUGCAAUCAAUGAAAGCUACUGACAAGAGUAGUAGCUUAAGCCUCAGCUCUCUGUGACAUUGUAGAGACACAACUUGCAGAUACCCACGCACACUCAUGAAGAAGUUUCACUUUCACACGCAGAGCACAAAGAAGAAUGAACAUUGAGAGGGAAUUGGCAUUGAUUAAAGAAAAUAAGAAAUUAUUGGGAGUGGAAUUUGUUAAAAUAAUGAUUGAAGGUUAAAGGUUGGAAACGGGAAAAUAUACAGUCUGCAAUAUCCUGCUUAAAUUUGUCCACUUUGCCAAUGAAAU
This is a long non-coding RNA of Oncorhynchus tshawytscha (Chinook salmon), 1970 nucleotides long. The record is from Ensembl. Lineage: Eukaryota; Metazoa; Chordata; Actinopteri; Salmoniformes; Salmonidae.